AAAAAGGUUUAGAAUUUGUAAUUAGUGAAGGGUAAAAUUGUAGUUUAGAAAAGGGGAUGAGGGAUGAGCGGCUAAUAUUGAAAAAGAACAAGGUUCUAGAUUAAAAAUCCCAUUAUCUGGUAGGAAGACAUGUGAAGUAAAGGAGAUAUGCUUUCGUGAGCAAGAAUCAAAAUAAAUAGGAAAAUGCUAAACAUUUCUGCUUCUUUUUUUUGUUCGAAAUCUUGUUUAAGUGA
RNAcentral lists this long non-coding RNA (233 nucleotides) under Ricinus communis (castor bean). RNAcentral describes it as "long non-coding RNA (RCOM_LNC002279)". Lineage: Eukaryota; Viridiplantae; Streptophyta; Magnoliopsida; Malpighiales; Euphorbiaceae. The record is from RNAcentral.